Long non-coding RNA from Theobroma cacao (cacao), 977 nucleotides. RefSeq lists it as uncharacterized. The record is from RefSeq and is a predicted model, not a curated record. Lineage: Eukaryota; Viridiplantae; Streptophyta; Magnoliopsida; Malvales; Malvaceae.
UUGAAACUAAAAUAAAACAAUAACAUCAUCAUUCAAACAACUUUUAGUUCAUUGAGAAGGCAUGAUCUCUUGGGAAACUCUCUGCUUCCUCUCCUUGCUUUGUACAGGUGUUUUUCUGUGGGGACCGACCACGUUGUUUUUUAUUUGUUUUGAUCUCCCAUGUUCCUUGGGUUGUGUUUCCUUUUCAACGGGGGGAUGAUGAGGAGGUGAAGGAGGCACGGUUACAAGAGGCUUUGCCUCUUGGUGGUGGGGUGUCCUUGUUUUGCUUCGGUUCUCAUUUGAUGCGGGUCUCUUCUUCAUGCUUUGGUUGUCUGACGAGGUAGCGUCGUCUUUGCUCUGUGGAUUCCGGAAGGAUAGGGAGGGGGUUGUUUAUGUCUGCUUCUCCUGCAGUACCUGGCCUGCUGUCUUUUGAGUCUGCUGAUGGUUAAAGCUGUGUUGAUCUUCUGUGCCUGACCUUUGGGGUGCCUUGAUGCGAUAUGUCCUCACCGGAGUCGCAUGUUUUUGUUGUGUGCUUCCUGUGAUGACUCCAUUGUCGUGAACGCAAGUUGUUGUUUCCUUGUGGGAUGUCGGCUUCAUGCCCUCGCUGUUCUGGGGUGACGCUUGGGAUGUUUUCUUCUUCUGCGAUUGUUGGCGCCCGCAAGGCUUUGCAUGUCUCAGGCUCCCGCAAUUGUUCUUCCGGGUUGCUCUUUUCUUUUUCUUUUUUUUUUUCUCUUUUUUCCUUUCUUUUUUUGUACUUUCUAGGAUUGUUGAUCCUUGGCUUUUUACCAUGAGGAUCUCCAGGAGGUAGUGUGAUCUUUUUUCAUUAGGGAGCUGUUGAUCCUAGGGUUAUGCUGUUUCGCUGGGAUGAGCAUUGUUCUAGGUUUCAGCCUGAACUUCUUGUUUAGGGGCUGUCUUUUCUUUUGGGUGCUGCCAAUUCCUCUGGAGCAGCUUUGAUCUCUUGAAAUUGUUUGUUUCUGACUUUUCCAAAGUUGGCUUUA